AAGAAGAUCUCGUAUGAUUAUGUUCUAAUAAAAAAACAUAUAUUUCAAUUUGUUAAUACUCACUGUUUCAUACGUGAUAGCAACAUAUUUCAUCAUAUGUCUUCACUGUGUUUCAAAAAAAAGUUUAAAUAUUCGUUAUAACUAAAUCUUCACAACAAAAUCUCGCCUGAUUAUGUUCUGAUAAAAAAAAGCAUAUGUUUCAGUUUGUUAAUACUCAUUGUUUCAUAUGUGAUAGCAACAUGUUUCAACAUAUGUCUUCACUGUGUUUCAAAAAAAAGUUUAAAUGUUGCUGUGACUGAUUUUUUUUACUAUAUAUAACUUAAUGUUUCACUGGUAGUUAACUGUAACAUAACAUUUGACUGAUGGAGUUUUUUUUUCCCCUACUCUCCCUCCUCUCUAUCCAUGCAUGGAUGCAUGAAUUCAAAAUGAAUUUUCUCCUAAACUACUUAUCUAAUAUACUAUCCGAUAACACUCUUAUAUUCGUUGUAAUUAAAUCUUCACGACAAGAUAUGGCGUGAUUAUGUUCUGAUGUAAAAAAACAUAUGUUUUAGUCCGUUAAUACUUAAUGUUUCAUAGCAACAUGUUAAUUUCAAUGUGUGUUUUAGCUGUGUUUAAAAAAAAUAAAUGUUCUAGUGACUGUUUUUUCAUUUCACCGUAUAUAACUUAAUGUUUCACUGGUGGUCAACCGCCGUAUUUGACAAUAUUUGACUAAUGUUUCACUGGUGGUCAACCGCCGUAUUUGACAAUAUUUGACUUACCGAUUUUUUUGAGAGGGUCGGACGCCCGAUUUGGAAGUACCUCCCUCGUUGGGUAGUGCUAGCCGGUUUUUGAACCGGUGCUAAUAGCACGAUUCUGCAUUUGUGUGACACCUCAUUUUCUCUAGUGCCACUUUAGGUGUUUAUCCUAUCUGGUAAGCUAUAUUUAUUGUCACGGAACAUUGGGAAUACCCUAAAAUCACACACACACACACACAGCAUAUCUUUUAUUUGUGCCAUGGUCACUUUUGUUGACGGAAUUUCCCACAUAUCUGUGGAUUGUUUCUCUGCAUGUCGAUCGAAAUAUGAGUCUAGAUCAACUCUCAAGUGAUGGGGGUAAUUACUAUCCGCAGUAGUUAGCUUUUAAUGAUGGGGUAAUUGCUAUCAGCAGUAUGCCAUAUGAUAGGAACGGGGUUGCGGGUAUAAUAAUUAAUUUCGCAUCAUGAAUUAUAUAUAUGGCCUUGUCAAGUUGUCAUCUUCAAGACUUCAAUUACAUAUAAUAAGAGUCACUUCAAUAAGUACCUGUCCGUCAAAGUAUAUUAAGGACUAGAUGAGCUUGAAGAAAAAGUAAAGAAUUUAGAUUGGUAUAAGAUUAAUUUUUACGAGUACCAUUCGGUUUGUAGAAAGAAAGUAUACGAA
Molecule: small RNA, 1394 nt
Filed under: Oryza sativa Japonica Group (Japanese rice)
Lineage: Eukaryota; Viridiplantae; Streptophyta; Magnoliopsida; Poales; Poaceae
Description: sRNA Os10g0152801
Source: RNAcentral